Molecule: small RNA, 124 nt
Filed under: Marmota monax (woodchuck)
Lineage: Eukaryota; Metazoa; Chordata; Mammalia; Rodentia; Sciuridae
Source: RNAcentral
GCUGGGCGCCGUGGUGCACGCCUGUCAUCCCAGCGGCGGGGAGGCUGAGGCAGGAGGAUCGUGAGUUCAAAGCCAGCCUCAGCAAACGCGAGGCACUAAGCAAUUCAGUGAGACCCUGUCUCUA